This 262-nucleotide ribosomal RNA is filed under the name uncultured archaeon. Its description in RNAcentral is "partial 16S ribosomal RNA". It matches the Rfam family "Archaeal small subunit ribosomal RNA", at positions 748 to 1009 of the family's 1478-position model. The record is from RNAcentral.
CAGCCGUAAACGAUGCGCGUUAGGUGUAUCGGUGACCACGAGUCACCGAGGUGCCGAAGGGAAACCGUGAAACGUGCCGCCUGGGAAGUACGGUCGCAAGGCUGAAACUUAAAGGGAAUUGGCGGGGGAGCACCACAACGGGUGGAGCCUGCGGUUUAAUUGGACUCAACGCCGGGAAGCUCACCGGAUAAGACAGCGGAAUGAUUGCCGGGCUGAAGACUCUGCAUGACUAGCUGAGAGGAGGUGCAUGGCGUAGUCGUGU